Molecule: transfer RNA, 117 nt
Organism: Daedalea quercina L-15889
Lineage: Eukaryota; Fungi; Basidiomycota; Agaricomycetes; Polyporales; Fomitopsidaceae
Rfam family: tRNA
About the family: Transfer RNA (tRNA) molecules are approximately 80 nucleotides in length. Their secondary structure includes four short double-helical elements and three loops (D, anti-codon, and T loops).
Source: Rfam
GGUGAGAUGGCCGAGCGGUCUAAGGCGCCAGACUAAGGUAAUCUGUUCCCGCUUGGAGUUCAGUGAUUGUCUCGAAUCUGGUCCGAAAGGGCGUGGGUUCGAAUCCCACUCUCAUCA